AGUGAACGCUGGCGGUAGGCCUAACACAUGCAAGUCGAACGGCAGCACAGUAAGAGCUUGCCCUUACGGGUGGCGAGUGGCGGACGGGUGAGGAAUACAUCGGAAUCUACUUUUUCGUGGGGAUAACGUAGGGAAACUUACGCUAAUACCGCAUACGACCUACGGGUGAAAGCAGGGGAUCUUCGGACCUUGCGCGAUUGAAUGAGCCGAUGUCGGAUUAGCUAGUUGGCGGGGUAAAGGCCCACCAAGGCGACGAUCCGUAGCUGGUCUGAGAGGAUGAUCAGCCACACUGGAACUGAGACACGGUCCAGACUCCUACGGGAGGCAGCAGUGGGGAAUAUUGGACAAUGGGCGCAAGCCUGAUCCAGCCAUACCGCGUGGGUGAAGAAGGCCUUCGGGUUGUAAAGCCCUUUUGUUGGGAAAGAAAAGCAGCAGGUUAAUACCCCGCUGUUCUGACGGUACCCAAAGAAUAAGCACCGGCUAACUUCGUG
RNAcentral lists this ribosomal RNA (491 nucleotides) under uncultured bacterium. Its description in RNAcentral is "partial 16S ribosomal RNA". It matches the Rfam family "Bacterial small subunit ribosomal RNA", at positions 29 to 507 of the family's 1533-position model. The record is from RNAcentral.